UAUUAGCCCUGAUCGCAGCGGCAUCCUUUUUAUUUUGUCCUUCGAUCCUUCCAUGAACUCUGGACAGGCUAAGCUCAGGAUGACAAAAUAAAAAGAUAGAGCGGAGAGCAGGAGAGAAC
This 119-nucleotide small RNA is filed under the name Flavobacterium flevense. RNAcentral describes it as "Flavo-1 RNA". It matches the Rfam family "Flavo-1 RNA". The record is from RNAcentral. Lineage: Bacteria; Pseudomonadati; Bacteroidota; Flavobacteriia; Flavobacteriales; Flavobacteriaceae.